Long non-coding RNA from Erinaceus europaeus (western European hedgehog), 2532 nucleotides. RefSeq lists it as uncharacterized. NCBI's taxonomy places the organism in Eukaryota, Metazoa, Chordata, Mammalia, Eulipotyphla, Erinaceidae. The transcript is spliced from 3 exons. The record is from RefSeq and is a predicted model, not a curated record.
AAAGCCAUGGAGGAAGUCAGCAGGUGAGGCAGCAUUUUGUUCUGCCUGUAAGUCAGCCUUGGCCUUCAUGUGAGGGCAGCUCUAUUAACAUUUCUAAUCGAGUCAUCAAUGGCUGGGUCUCCAGUUGCUGAUUCCACAAGUGGAAUGCUCUGGGCAUUUUACGUUGACCGGCUCAGAAUCCAGGGUGGAGUGAACAGUCACUUUCUGCCAGCAGCACCAGAACCUUGUCUUUAGGAGCCCUGAGAGAGGAGUGCAUCAGGCUCCCUCCACGCACCCAUGCCCAGAGUCCUGACCUGCUGGACGCUGGGGAUGCUCAGGUGAGCAGCAGCGCGUCCUCCAGCGUCUGCAGCAGCGUGCCCACCUGCUGGCCCUCCUGCACGUGCCGCAGCCGCACCGUCAGCUUCCGCAGCGCCUCUCGGUCCUCCUCCACGCGCCCCCGGCCCUCCUCCACGCUCCCCCGGCCCGCAGGGCCCGCCAUACCGCCGGAGUCUGGCUGAGGCCUGAGCUCACUGCCCUGUGCACAGUACCCUCCCACCUCCGGCCCUGGCAAAGAGAAGCUUCUGUGCAUUUCCAGAAUGAAUGGAGUGACUAGCCCCAGACUGGACAAGGUCCUGAGUGGUGUUGAGACUGAAGAGGAGGGCAGCACAUAUGUGCACACAUUUAACAGAGGUAGCAUUUGGCAGGUGAUAUAACAGUUUGGAACAUUUGACUCACUUCCUAGGAGUAUAAAAAAUAAAAUUGGCAUUACCACCUGCAACAAAAAGGUACCUUUCAGGUGCCUCAAGAGUUAAAUAACAUUUAUUUUGAAAAGAAAAUGUACACUUAUUCAAUUGUUUUUCAUUCAAUCAAUCUUGCUGGAAGCAAACAUAACAACUAAGAAACUCUGAGGCUAUGAAACUAAGAGUCUAUGUGGCUUCAUACAAAUGUACAUUUUUUAUUUUAUUUUAUUUUACUUUACUGAGGCAAAUGUCCAUUUCCUGCAGUUAAAUAAAAUGAUCUCAAGGCAAUGAAUGUAAAACUAAAAAAAAAAGUUGUUGGGGGGGGUGGGUGGUGGCAUACCUGGUUGAGCAAACAUUACAAAAAAAGUUGUGAUGCAUAUGCCAAAAAUUAAUAGUAUGUAAAAAAUAGCUAUUGGGAGUCGUGCAGUAGCGCAGCAGUUAAGCACAGGUGGUGCAAAGCACAAGGACUGGCAUAAGGAUCCCGGUUCAUGCCCCCAGCUCUCCACCUGUAGGGGAGUCACCUCACAGGCAGUGAAACAGGCCUGCAGAUGUCUAUCUUUCUCUCCUCCUCUCUGUCUUCCCUGCCUCUCUACAUUUCUCUCUGCCCUAUCCAACAACAACAACAUCAAUAACAACUUCUGGCACUCAUGUGGAGUGGAUCCAGCCAGGGGGAAAGUCACCCAUCCUCCCUCACUAGCUCUCAGGGACCACGUGAUUCAGAAAGGAGGACUCAGGGAGUACUCUGGUACGAACACUCAUUUAUUUGGACAUGGAUACAGGUUUAUAUACAGAGUUAAACAAAGAACAUUUUUCACAUAUGUCAGAAAGUACAGGUUUCGUAAAGGUCAGCUUUCCCCUAUGGUAGGGGGCUGAUAUGACAAGAAUUGAUGCGAUACAUAAAGGUCAAAACGAUUAUUCUCCAUGAUGCAGGCAGGUUAAUUAUCCAAAGGCAUUUGACAGAAGCAUAGGGGUUAAACCAGUAAGGUGAGGUAGAGAAAAGAAAUACAAAGCUUGAUGUAAAUAACAGAUAUCAAAGGACACAAGGAAAUAAGAUUUGGGGGCUUUUCAUUGUCUGGUGUUAGGGGUGUAUGAUAAGAGUAUGUUCUCCUUUGUGAUGAAAAGGUGAAGUGGAUGUGUGAACUUUGAGUGAACCCUAAAGCAGGCAACCAUUUGGCCUGCUGCUAGCAGGGAAAACUAAGUGUGAGAUACUUGUAGGCUUUCUGUGAGCUUGAGAGACUAACAAGGAGAAACCUGAGUCUGGGAGACUUUUCCCUCUUGGCUCAUCUCUAUUAGGAGAGAGGCUAACAAGUGGGGUGUCUUUCCAGACCUCCAUCCAAGGAUGGGAGCUUCCCUAAGCUCUACCAAGCUUUCACAUAGUCCCAUAGACAACAACAAUAAUAACUACAACAAUAAAAAAAAAUAGCUAUCACAGUGGCAAAGCAAGUUGUGAUAUAUAUACACAAUGGAAUACUGCUCAGCUAUUAAACACAGUGCGAUCUUGGAUGGAGCUUGAAAAAAUCAUGUUAAGUGAAAUAAGUCAGAAACAGAAGGAUGGGGGGUCAGGCGGUAGCGCAGAGGGUUAAGUGCAGGUGGCACAAAGCACAAGGACCGGGGUAAGGAUCCCAGUUCCAGUCCCUGACUCCCCACCUGCAGGGGAGUCGCUUCAUAGGCAGUGAAGCAGGUCUGCAGGUGUCUGUCUUUCUCUCCCCCUCUGUCUUCCCCUCCUCUCUCCAUUUCUCUCUGUCCUAUCCAACAAAAAAUGACAUCAACAACAACAAUAAUAAUCACAACAAGACUACAACAACAAAGGCAA